AUGAUAGCGGAUUUGAAGUAGAUGUGGUGAUGUUGUGUAGUAAUGCAAUGUUGUGAAUGAGCUGGGUAUAAGUAUGAACUGUGCGGCUGAAAUGGGAGUGAUGAUGAAGGUGCAGAGCUGAGAUGAGAUGAACUGAGGCAAUUGAUAUUUGUAGGAAUGAUUGUAGAGUUGUUCUUAUUAAAUGGAACAGCCAGUUGCAAGAAAUAACAAAGUUAUAAUGAGACUCAGGGUUAAGGAUGGACAAGUGAUAUGAGAUGUCUGAAGUGUAAAUGGAACUGAGGUUGCGGUGUAUGGAUGAGAGGAUAGUGCCAAUGAGAUAAUGAAUGAAGCUGCAGUUGGUGUUCGUAAAGUGAAGAAGUUUAGAAUUGGAUUUGAACUGAGGUUGUGGUGUAUGGAUGAGAGGAUAGUGCCAAUGAGAUAAUGAAUGAAGCUGCAGUUGGUGUUCGUAAAGUGAAGAAGUUUAGAAUUGGAUUUGAACUGAGGUUAUAAAAGGUUUUGUUAUGGUUGGUUGGGCAGAGAUGGAAUGUAUACAAGAUCAUAGUCUAGGUUUGUUUGAUUCGACUGAAAUUGCAGAUGGAAUUGGAAUUAAUCUGGUUGUGUAGAUAGAGUUGAAUGGUGUUGUUGAUCUGAGCCGUUGAGUUGUUCUGAGAUGCAGUUAUAGUGGAAUUGUUUGUGUGUUUGAGAGUUUUAGAGAUGCAAUGGCAGUUUAGCUUUGCUGGUUCGUUUGAGCUGAGAAGAUAGUUACUACAGCAACUGCAAUUGCAGAUAAUUAAGUUGUAAUCGUGUUUGUAAUUUGGUUAUGAAAGUUUCUUAAGAAUUUAUAAGUUGAAGUUGUAUUUGAGUCAUAAUUUGUGCUAGAA
Papaver somniferum (opium poppy) is the source of this 860-nucleotide long non-coding RNA. RefSeq lists it as uncharacterized. NCBI's taxonomy places the organism in Eukaryota, Viridiplantae, Streptophyta, Magnoliopsida, Ranunculales, Papaveraceae. The record is from RefSeq and is a predicted model, not a curated record. The transcript has 2 exons.